AGUAACGCGUGAGUAACCUGCCUUUCAGAGGGGGAUAACGUUCUGAAAAGAACGCUAAUACCGCAUGAGACUACAGAGCUGCAUGGCUCAGUGGUCAAAGGAGCAAUCCGCUGAAAGAUGGACUCGCGUCCGAUUAGAUAGUAGGCGGGGUAACGGCCCACCUAGUCGACGAUCGGUAGCCGGACUGAGAGGUUGACCGGCCACAUUGGGACUGAGACACGGCCCAGACUCCUACGGGAGGCAGCAUG
Molecule: ribosomal RNA, 248 nt
Filed under: uncultured bacterium
Lineage: Bacteria
Description: partial 16S ribosomal RNA
Rfam family: Bacterial small subunit ribosomal RNA
Source: RNAcentral